Molecule: long non-coding RNA, 1675 nt
Organism: Oreochromis niloticus (Nile tilapia)
Lineage: Eukaryota; Metazoa; Chordata; Actinopteri; Cichliformes; Cichlidae
Product: ecto-ADP-ribosyltransferase 5
Exons: 6
Source: RefSeq, a predicted model, not a curated record
UAGGCCUUACUUCACAAAUCUAAACAAGAUUACAGAAACUCAGUAGCUCAAGCAGGACAAGUAACAGGAAAAAUCAGUGGAAAACAAAUCCCCCAGUGCCAUGUUGCUUCCUUCCACAGGAAAGACUAAGAAGUUCUACGGUAAGAUAACUUGCUUCACUUCUUCAGACCCUAAUGGGCAUCCCGGCUGUUUGAUGGACCCUUUGCUGUGAGUUGCUAACACAAGUUUACUCUCCUUGCUUCUGUGCUUUCUUUCAGUCUGUAGAAGAAGAGGAAAAAAAUGGAGUACAGAAAAAAAGGGCUUCUUGCUACAAUAAUUUUUUUCAUAGCUGUCUGCAGCAAAGUGACCGCACAGGAAACAAGACUACUGGAUGUCCAAAAGACCACAGAUGUUGUAGAUGACCAGUAUGAUGGAUGCCGUGAUGAGGCCAUGAAGAAGUUCAUCGAGUCAGACGUGUUAAAACAAGAACUAAGCAACAGUGAAGGAUUUCAGAAAGCGUGGAAUAAAAGUAACGAGUGCUCAAAGCAGAUCCCUGGAGGAAGAAAAGAGCAUACUGCUGCACUUUCAGUCUAUGUUAAUGGAGAUCGACCUUUCAUAAAAACACUGAACAAAGCAAUAGAAACAAUGGGUGGAAAUGUUAGCAUCUAUGAAAACCACUUCCACUUCAAGUCUCUUCAUUUCCUGCUGAUGGACUCCAUGAGGCUGCUGAAGCCACAGGACUGCAAGAACUUUUAUGUUUUUCAAGAUGGUCAAAACAAACCACAGAAAGGCUCCACAGUGAGAUUUACAAGUUUCACCUCAGCUCAUUCAGACUAUGAAGAGCUAAAGAGCUUUGAAGAUGUCAUUGAGAAUACGAUUUUAAAUCUCAAUUCUUGUUUCUUUGUCAACCUGAAAGACUAUGUGUGCGGCCAAGAACAGGAUGAAAUACUCUUAUCUCCAGCAGAAGUUUUCACUGUGGAACAAGUGGAAACAAAAACUACAUCGGAUGGUGACAAAUACCUUGAGAUUGUUUUAAACCACUCAGGACUGAACAGCUCACACAACUGUUACAGCUUUCCACGGAUCUCAAGAGGGCAUGAGACUACCACAGCUGUCAUAGAGCGAUCCAGUGUUCCAGGAGUGCAUGAGACUGCCACAGUUGUCACAGACCGAAACAGGUCUCCUCCAGCUGUUGUCUCCACCCUGUGGCUUGUAUCGGUGCUUGUGGUCGUAGCUUUGUUGUCUUUAGCUGUUUAGCAAAAACAGUUAUCAUUCAGAGUUUCAGAGUUUUAUCAUCUACAGUAUUGCUGUGAUUCUUCACACAAUUAUUUGACACGUUAUCUGACUGAUUGUGUUGAAUUAGUUGUCUAAGCAGUAACUUUCUGCUUCUGUCAUAUGUUAUGAAAUAUAGACUGCAUGACUUCAGAAUAUUUGAUAAAGAUUUUAAAGGGGUGCAGAAAAUUGGUGUAAAAUACAGGGGGUUCAAAUUUCAGGCUUAUGUGCAACUGCUGAACACCAACUACAAAUAAUCUGCGAUCAUGAGAUGCUUUUAUUUGUUGUUAUGGUCACAUAGAUCGAUAGAUAGAUAUUGAUACACUUUAUAGACUUUAUUAAUCUUGCACAAUUCAUUUGUUGCAGCGGCACAGGGAUAAGCAAGAACAAAGUGAAUUUGAUAUAGAUUAGAAAAAAAGAAUAA